UAGCAAUACGAGCGGCAGACGGGUGAGUAACGCGUGGGAAUCUACCGUACCCUACGGAAUAGCUCUGGGAAACUGGAGGUAAUACCGUAUACGCCCCCCUUUAAAAUGUCAGAAUCAUAAAAUGCCUCUGGCACUUUAUGGGGGGGAAAGAUUUAUCGGGGUAUGAUGAGCCCGCGUUGGAUUAGCUAGUUGGUGGGGUAAAGGCCUACCAAGGCGACGAUCCAUAGCUGGUCUGAGAGGAUGAUCAGCCACAUUGGGACUGAGACACGGCCCAAACUCCUACGGGAGGCAGCAGUGGGGAAUAUUGGACAAUGGGCGCAAGCCUGAUCCAGCCAUGCCGCGUGAGUGAUGAAGGUCUCAGGAUUGUAAAGCUCUUUCACCGAUGAAGAUAAUGACGGUAGUCGGAGAAGAAGCCCCGGCUAACUUCGUGCCAGCCGCCGCCGGUAA
Molecule: ribosomal RNA, 447 nt
Filed under: uncultured bacterium
Lineage: Bacteria
Description: partial 16S ribosomal RNA
Rfam family: Bacterial small subunit ribosomal RNA
Source: RNAcentral